Populus nigra (black poplar) is the source of this 1149-nucleotide long non-coding RNA. RefSeq lists it as uncharacterized. The transcript has 2 exons. Lineage: Eukaryota; Viridiplantae; Streptophyta; Magnoliopsida; Malpighiales; Salicaceae. The record is from RefSeq and is a predicted model, not a curated record.
UAAGGUGCAACUGUGCAUUAACAAAAAACUAAGAGAGAGAGAUAAGAGCGAUCAGGAAAACACUGUGGAUCUAGACUACUUUUACUCGAUGUGUUUCCUAAAAAUUUUGCUCAAUCUCGCGAUAAACUUGGCAAGGCUCUAGAGAUGGGUAGUUGUUCUUUCUUGCCAUAAAGUCUCUCCUUAUUUGCGGUGUCUGUGGUGUUGUUGGUCUCUUUCUUCUACAGCUAGUGGGUGUGUCAUGAUUGUGCAUUAAAUGCACACCCAUUUGCCAGGUCCUUUGCCUUCUACUGUGCGUUGGGAGAGUGGAAAUUGUUUUUGGUUGGAUUUGACAUUCUGUUUGUUCUGGCGAGAUUCUUUGGUUUGCUGCUGCCUCUUCUCUCUUUUCCCUGUUCUGGUUUCGUUGCAAUGUUGCCGGAUAAGCCUCUGUUUCUUUUCUGGUUUAGUUGGCUUAUUAAUCUCUGUCUACAUUGGUAGUUUCUAUGCUUUUCAUGUCAAUUGUUUGUGUGGUUGAUUGGGAGACUUGUGGUAGGGGGGUUUGAUUGUUGUUUUCCUCUUUUUUGGGAUUGGAUCGGCAUGGGUUUGCGAGGGACUAUAUAACUGUUUUGUUUCUAAGGGGUUAUACUCUUAUAAAAAACUAUCCAGCCUCUCUAUUUCUCUUCUUUCUAUGUCCCGCGUCGUUCUACCAUGGUGAUUAAUUUCUUACAUUUCCAGUCUUCACUUUUGCAUUGCUUUCACUGGCUCUUUUGUUUUGUUUAUUAUCUGUUUCAUUUUGGAUUUGUUGAUGCUUUGUUCUUUUAUGAUUUGGUUCUCUCAGGGCUUUGGAUUUUGGCUUGGGAAGGAUUGUUGGCCUUGGUUGGUUGUCUGUGAGGUUGUCCUCUCUAGGUUAUGUUCUUAUUGGGAUUCCAAGCCGUAUACUGUGUUGGGGGCUUUCUUCCGUGUUCUAUUCUUGAGAGGCUCUAGAUUAGAUGCAAUUGUUGAUAGAUGAGCAUUCCAAAAUUUUCCCUUGAAAUAAACACACCUUGGGAUUUUGCAGAGGGUUCCAAGUUCUAGAUGUUGCAUGUUGAGGUUCUCUUUGUCAAGACAUUGAAAAAUAGGUUUCAAGGAAGGGUGUGAAAUCCCAAAGAGGGAAGCACAUGAAUUAUGAUAUAA